Hemicordylus capensis (graceful crag lizard) is the source of this 1193-nucleotide long non-coding RNA. RefSeq lists it as uncharacterized. The transcript has 3 exons. NCBI's taxonomy places the organism in Eukaryota, Metazoa, Chordata, Lepidosauria, Squamata, Cordylidae. The record is from RefSeq and is a predicted model, not a curated record.
GGCCACCAGAAGCCACUUACUUUCUGACAUCACUGGAAGUUGUCAGAAGCCGGCCUACAUCACCAGAAUCAAUCAGAGGUGGGCCUACAUCACCAGAAAUGGUCAGAAUCAGGCAUACCUCCUCAGCCUGGAAGUUCUGUUCCACACCACACCCCCAAAUAUGCCCAGGCAUGCCCUGAAGAUGGACAUGUGAUCCCCCUCUACAAACACGCACCACUACUCUGGACCAAUAGGAACAGGUUUUAAAACCUAGAAAGGCUUGAUGGUGCGGGCAUGAUGACAGAGCAGUGACUAUUUUGUGUAAUGUUAUUGGCUGAAACAGGUUCAAGUGACCCCUCUAAGUACAGGCCCUGUGGCAGAGUGCUUAGAGGAGGCCAUUUUACAGUUCUGCAGAGACUGCAGCCUGUGAGCCUAUCUUUGCCACUGGAACCCUUGAACAUUAAGACUGGGAAGACCAGAGCUGUGUAUAUGACACUGAAGAGCCUGUACCACCCUCCAGCAGGCCUGAAAACUCACCAGAUUCCUAUUUUUACCAAAGGCCAGGUUCCAGAUCCAGAAAUAACCUUCCCAGCGAACCAGUAUUCUGAACGAAAAUGCAACUGUAGGUGCUGUAAAACCAUCCCUGUUCCUGCUAUGGAAACUGAAGCUGGAGAUCCUCCAGCUACUGCCCCCCCAAAAACAGAAGCAUGAGUUCAUCAGGUUCUGAAACAAGCUCCUGCGAAAUGAAAGCUGCAUGAGUGAAGAAGAGGCCUCAUCAUUAUUGCUGUGAGGGUUACUGUUGCUGCAACUCAGACAGGGACUUUUCUGAUGUUGAGUGUGACUGGCAUUCUUUUUUGACAAGAAGGCCCCGGGAUUCUCAGUGUGACAAUAAGAGCUGCAGGUCUAGUGAAGACUGGCCAUUGUGGGAUGGCCUGAAACCAACUUCAGGCAGCCCGAAAUCCUCUUACUGCAAGGCUAUAUGUUUUACUUCAUCAUCUGACUGCAUUAUCAAGCCUUAUAGGGUUUUUUCUCAUUUGCGGAUAUUGUACGUGUUACCUUUUUGAUUUGUGAUUACAAAAACUGAACAGGAAGCUCCAAUUGAGGAGCAGGACAAACAGGUCCAUGCCUUUGAGAACAUGUACCUUGGGGAUGUCAGUGUAUCCUGCAACUCACGUGGUUGCACUGAUGGUGACCAAUAAAAAAAUUAUUUUAAA